AGGUAGACGAAGCUCAUCAGCUGAGGGAGAUGACGAUCAUCUGCUGAGGGCGAGGAUGAUCAUCAGCCGAGGUAGACGAAGCUCAUCAGCUGAGUGAGAGGACGAUCAUCUGCUGAGGGCGAGGAUGAUCAUCAGCUGAGGUAGACGAAGCUUAUCAGCUAAGGGAGAGGACGAUCAUCUGCUGAGGGCGAGGACGAUCAUCAGCUCAGGACGAAGCUUAUCAGCUGAGGUAGACGACGAUCAUCAGCUGAGGGAGAGGACGAUCAUCUGCUGAGGGCGAGGACGAUCAUCAGCUCAGGACGAGCUUAUCAGCUGAGGUAGACGACGAUCAUCAGCUGAGCGAGAGGACGAUCAUCUGCUGAGGGCGAGGACGAUCAUCCGCUGAGUGAGAGGAUGAUCAUCUGCUGAGGGCGAGGACGAUCAUCCGCUGAGGUAGACGUUAUCUUCGAAGGAUGACUCAAAAUUUGGCUAUAACGACUACCCCCCAGUUCCUUGUAACAUAAGUGCGAAAGGGU
RNAcentral lists this long non-coding RNA (515 nucleotides) under Daucus carota (carrot). RNAcentral describes it as "long non-coding RNA (DCAR_LNC002238)". Lineage: Eukaryota; Viridiplantae; Streptophyta; Magnoliopsida; Apiales; Apiaceae. The record is from RNAcentral.